Molecule: non-coding RNA, 87 nt
Filed under: Lelliottia nimipressuralis
Lineage: Bacteria; Pseudomonadati; Pseudomonadota; Gammaproteobacteria; Enterobacterales; Enterobacteriaceae
Also listed under: 1 other name
Description: DsrA RNA
Rfam family: DsrA RNA
About the family: DsrA RNA regulates both transcription, by overcoming transcriptional silencing by the nucleoid-associated H-NS protein, and translation, by promoting efficient translation of the stress sigma factor, RpoS.
Source: RNAcentral
CCCACAUCAGAUUUCCUGGUGUAACGAAUUUACAAGUGCUUCUUGCAUAAGCAAGUUUGAUCCCGGUCAUCCCCAUGACCGGGAUUU